AUUGAACGCUGGCGGAAUGCUUUACACAUGCAAGUCGAACGGCAGCACGGACUUCGGUCUGGUGGCGAGUGGCGAACGGGUGAGUAACAUAUCGGAACGUAUCCAAUAAUGGGGGAUAACGAGUCGAAAGAUUCGCUAAUACCGCAUACGCCCUACGGGGGAAAGCUGGGGACCUUCGGGCCUGGCGUUAAUGGAGCGGCCGAUAUCUGAUUAGCUAGUUGGUGAGGUAAAGGCUCACCAAGGCGACGAUCAGUAGCUGGUCUGAGAGGACGACCAGCCACACUGGAACUGAGACACGGUCCAGACUCCUACGGGAGGCAGCAGUGGGGAAUUUUGGACAAUGUGCGCAAGCCUGAUUCAGCCAUUCCGCGUGAGUGAAGAAGGCCUUCGGGUUGUAAAGCUCUUUCGCAAGGGAAGAAAACUUAGCCACUAACAUUGGUUGAGGUUGACGGUACCUUGAUAAGAAGCACCGGCUAACUACGUGCCAGCCGCCGCGGUAA
RNAcentral lists this ribosomal RNA (500 nucleotides) under uncultured bacterium. RNAcentral's name for it is "partial 16S ribosomal RNA". It matches the Rfam family "Bacterial small subunit ribosomal RNA", at positions 30 to 523 of the family's 1533-position model. The record is from RNAcentral.